AGUAAACUGGACCGAAAGAGAGGGGCGCCUGGGUGGCUCAUUCGGUUAAGCGUCUGCCUUCAACUCGGGUCACGAUCUCAGGGUCCUGGGAUCGAGCCCCACAUCAGGUUCUCUGCUCAGCGGGGAGCCUGCUUCCCUUUUUCGCCCUGUGCUCUCUCUCCCCAUCUUCUCUUUCAAAUAAAUAAACAAAACCUUUAAAGAAAGGAAGGAAGGGAGAGAGGGAGGAAAACAGCGGGUUCAGAAGAAUGCUGGGACCCUCAGCGGCUACUCUAUUCUGUCUCUACCAGCUCCCAGGCCACCGCAUCCAGCUGCUGACUCAGCACCUCUACCCCGGGGGGCAAGGAUAGGGGGUGGGAGGGGGCCUCAGUCUCCCAAGCAUCUCACACUCAAGGAGUCUAAAGAUAUAUUCUUCUUUCCCUCUGCUUUCCCAUUUUCUGUCUCCUUGGUGGUUCUGCCUCACACUUUGCUGUGUAAGCUAGAAACUUCGAAGUCAGCCUUGUUCCUCCAUUGACAACCCCCACCACCAUCUAUCUGGAUUCGACAUCCAUGCGAUGCUUUCCUGCAAACAGCUUCCAGUCUGGGUCUUCCCGUCCCAUACCUGACGGCUCCCGCACUGGGCAACAGCAGCCCCCUAACUGGCCUCCCUGCCUCCAGGCUCUUCCGCUCCGCUACCUCUUCCACACAUCUAACCGCAGCUUGGAUGUGGGGGGGGGGGGGGGCAAACCUCUCCAUAGGUCAUUUGGCACUCAGGGUCCCUACUAAUCGGGCUCCUCCUCCUCCGCCCCGCCCAUCAGUUAAGUCCUGACCCAUCGAACUGCUCGCACGGGCUCAGGACGCUGCUGGAAUGCCCUUCCCAUGUUCUCAGCUUAGAAGAUUCUUGCUCGCGUCCUUCAGGACCCAUCUCAGCUGUCACCAUCUCUGUGAUGCCAUCCCUGACCCAUCCAGGCACAGCUGGUCACCCGUCCUACAAUGGACAGCCCCUGUGCAUAGCCUGAAUCAUCCUGGGAAGGGACGGUCCCUCCCCUGGGCUCUCCGUGCUCCCCAUGUGAGCUUCCUCGGGCAGGGGCUGGGCCUCACUGGCCUUUCGUCCCGCCCUGCCUCUCGCCAGACUUUCAAUUCCCGUAUCACGGCUUCACCUUAAACAAUAAAAAGUACCACGCGGGCCCCCAAAGGUGCGGCGGAUGAGUCCUGGUCGAGGGUGACACCUACUGGGAAGCUGCGGUUCUGCAGCCCAGCCCUACAAAUCCGUACCACACUUCCAGGCCCAGGUCUGCGAAUCCCAGGGCGGGAUUCCCAGGAAUGAGGGAGAUUUCAAUCAAACAAUCUUCCCUCCAAAAGAGCCUUCGAGAACGUCUGUUACUGUGCAGCAGCUGCAGAGGGCGGCGACGUUCAGAGAAUGCCUUUUUGUCCCUUCUCCCGUCGGAUCCUUUAAACCAUCCGGAAAGGCAGAUGGAACAGGUGUUAUGACAACACCUGUCUUGCAGCUGAAUCCUGGCCUCUGGAACAGUACCUGGCACAGGGCAGACACUCAAGUACGAGUGGCUGACCUUGGGAACGACCGGUGUAAGAAAUCCUUUCACCCGUGUGCCUGGCGCUAAUCGGAGUCCUGGGGCUCUCAGGGGACUGUGGUGCCUAAUGCAGAUGAGCUGAAUGGGAUAGACAGAAGUGAAGGGCUCGUCUAAGAAACAGAACUCACGGGACGCCUGGGUGGCUCAGUUGGUUAAGCAGCUGCCUUCGGCUCAGGUCAUGAUCCCAGCGUCCUGGGAUCGAGUCCAUCGGGCUCCUUGCCGAGCAAGGAGCCUGCUUCUCCCUCUGCCUCUGCCUGCCAUUCUGUCUGCCUGUGCUCGCUCCCCCCCCCCUCUCUGUGAUAAAUAAAUAAAAUCUUAAAAAAAAAAAAAAAGAUCUCACGUCUCUCAUCAGGGCUGGUCACCAAAUAUGGCCGCAGGCUCUUCCCACAACAACACACCACUUCUCGCUAUCCUGUUACACAGUCAGGGAAAAGCUCGAUCUUCCAGUGGUCAUUGGCCCAUCUGUCCAGCCACCCAGCCAACCAUGCCAACCUUCACCAUGUGGCAGGUUCUGCUGGGCUCCAGGACAGCGAGAAUAUGGUGGCGGCAGUGGGGGGUGGUGAAUUCAAAAGCAAGGUAAGAGGAGAUCUUGGGCCUCUUUCUUUCUUUUUCUAAAGAUUGUAUUUAUUUAUUUAUUUAUUUAUUUGAGAGAGAGAGGCAAAACCAUGAAGAGCUAUCGCCUCACACCUGUCAGAAUGGCUAAAAUCAACAGCGCAAGAAACAACAGGUGUUGGCGAGGAUGUGGAGAGAGAGGAAGGAAUCCUCUUGGGCUGUUGGAGGGAAUGCAAACUGGUGUAGACACCGUAGACAGUUUGGAGGUUCCUCAAAAACUUAGAAAUAGAACUACAUGACCAUCCAGCAAUCACACUAGUGGGUAUCCCCCCCCCAAAAUACAAAAACACUAAUUCAAAAUGCAAAAACUAAUUCAAAAUUCACGCAUCCCUAUGUUUAUAGCAGCAUUGUUACAAUCGCCAAAUUAGGUGGCGCCAAAUCAGCUCAAGUGUCCACUGAGAGAGGAACAGAUAAAGGUUGAUAAAUGGACUAGUAUUCAACCACGAAAUGGGAUGAAAUCUUGCCGUCUGCAACGACAUGGAUAGAGCUAGAUAUAAUGCUGAGUGAAAUGAGUCAGUCAGAGAAAGACACGUGCAAAUAUGAUUUCACUCGUGUGGCAUUUAAGAAACAAAACAAAUGAGCAAAGGAAAAGGAGAGAGAGACAGAGACAGAGACCAAGAAACAGACUCGUAA
Molecule: long non-coding RNA, 2813 nt
Organism: Mustela lutreola (European mink)
Lineage: Eukaryota; Metazoa; Chordata; Mammalia; Carnivora; Mustelidae
Exons: 3
Source: RefSeq, a predicted model, not a curated record